GGGAUGGAGGGAUGAGGUAGAGGGAAGGAGGGAUGAGGUAGAGGGAUGGGGGGAUGAGGUAGAGGGAUAGAGGGAUGAGGUGGAGGGAUGAGGUAGAGGGAUAGAAGGAUGAGGUGGAGGGAUGAGGUAGAGGGAUGAGGUAGAGGGAUAGAGGGAUGAGGUAGAGUGAUGAGGUAGAGGGAUAGAGGGAUGAGGUAGAGGGAUGAGGUAGAGGGAUAGAGGGAUGAGGUGGAGGGAUGAGGUAGAGUGAUGAGGUAGAGGGAUAGAGGGAUGAGGUAGAGGGAUGAGGUAGAGGGAUGAGGAAGAGGGAUAGAGGGAUGAGGUAGAGGGAUGAGAUAGAGGGAUGAGGUAGAGGGAUAGAGGGAUAGAGGGAUGAGGUAGAGGGAUGAGGUAGAGGGAUAGAGGGAUGAGGUGGAGGGAUGAGGUAGAGGGAUGUGGUAGAGGGAUAGAGGGAUGAGGUAGAGGGAUGAGGUAGAGGGAUAGAGGGAUGAGGUGGAGGGAUGAGAUAGAGGGAUGAGGUACAGGGUGAGGAUGAUGUCAGGAUCCUCAGGGUCACGUCUGUUCAGCCUCAGGAAGGGAGCGGUGGUUUUAGUGUAUUUUAUUAAUAAAGGAAAGACUGGACAGGCGUGAGAGUGGCCUCUCACCUGACUUACUGUAACUAUGUGUCUGUGUUCCUGUAAAGGGGUGUUCUGCUCUAGCUGGUUUUAAUAUACAGAACAAAAACAGGCUUCAGAGUCCAG
RNAcentral lists this long non-coding RNA (740 nucleotides) under Salmo salar (Atlantic salmon). Its description in RNAcentral is "lncRNA (ENSSSAG00000095558.1)". Lineage: Eukaryota; Metazoa; Chordata; Actinopteri; Salmoniformes; Salmonidae. The record is from RNAcentral.